RNAcentral lists this ribosomal RNA (119 nucleotides) under Pteropus alecto (black flying fox). Lineage: Eukaryota; Metazoa; Chordata; Mammalia; Chiroptera; Pteropodidae. The record is from RNAcentral.
GUCUACAGCCAUGCCAUCCUGAACAUGCCCGAUCUCAUCUGAUCUCGGAAGCUAAGUACGGUCGGGCCUGGUAAGUACUUGGAUGGAAGACCACCUAGGAAUACCAGGUGCUGUAGGCA